CCUGAUGCAGCGACGCCGCGUGAGGGAUGACGGCCUUCGGGUUGUAAACCUCUUUCAGCUCCGACGAAGCGUAAGUGACGGUAGGAGUAGAAGAAGGACCGGCCAACUACGUGCCAGCAGCCGCGGUAAUACGUAGGGUCCGAGCGUUGUCCGGAAUUACUGGGCGUAAAGAGCUCGUAGGUGGUUUGUCGCGUUGUUCGUGAAAACUCACAGCUCAACUGUGGGCGUGCGGGCGAUACGGGCAGACUGGAGUACUGCAGGGGAGACUGGAAUUCCUGGUGUAGCGGUGGAAUGCGCAGAUAUCAGGAGGAACACCGGUGGCGAAGGCGGGUCUCUGGGCAGUAACUGACGCUGAGGAGCGAAAGCGUGGGGAGCGAACAGGAUUAGAUACCCUGGUAGUCCACGCCGUAAACGGUGGGUACUAGGUGUGGGUUUCCUUCCUUGGGAUCCGUGCCGUAGCUAACGCAUUAAGUACCCCGCCUGGGGAGUACGGCCGCAAGGCUAAAACUCAAAGAAAUUGACGGGGGCCCGCACAAGCGGCGGAGCAUGUGGAUUAAUUCGAUGCAACGCGAAGAACCUUACCUGGGUUUGACAUGCACAGGACGCCAGUAGAGAUAUUGGUUCCCUUGUGGCCUG
This 636-nucleotide ribosomal RNA is filed under the name Mycobacterium sp. So2Ps_1657. Its description in RNAcentral is "bacterial SSU rRNA". It matches the Rfam family "Bacterial small subunit ribosomal RNA", at positions 382 to 1030 of the family's 1533-position model. Lineage: Bacteria; Bacillati; Actinomycetota; Actinomycetes; Mycobacteriales; Mycobacteriaceae. The record is from RNAcentral.